GCGGAAGUAGCUCAGUUGGUAGAGCACAACCUUGCCAAGGUUGGGGUCGCGGGUUCGAAUCCCGUCUUCCGCU
Transfer RNA from Porphyromonas macacae, 73 nucleotides. It matches the Rfam family "tRNA". Rfam says of the family: Transfer RNA (tRNA) molecules are approximately 80 nucleotides in length. Their secondary structure includes four short double-helical elements and three loops (D, anti-codon, and T loops). The record is from Rfam. NCBI's taxonomy places the organism in Bacteria, Pseudomonadati, Bacteroidota, Bacteroidia, Bacteroidales, Porphyromonadaceae.